CAUGCAAGUCGAACGAGGAUAUAUCCUUCGGGAUAUAAGCCGAGUGGCACAAGGGUGAGCAAUGCAUAGAUUACCUACCUUUAGGAUAAGGGCAACUUUGUGAAAACGGAGCUAAUACUUAAUAAUACAAAAGAAAAUAAUUUUUUUUUGUCAAAGGGAGGGUAGCAAUACCUUUCGCCUAGAGAGGGGUUUAUGUCCUAUCAGCUUGUUGGUGGGGUAAUAGCCUACCAAGGCGAAGACGGGUAGCCGGUUUAAGAGGAUGGUCGGCCACACUGGGACUGAGACACUGCCCAGACUUCUACGGAAGGCUGCAGUCGAGAAUCUUUCGCAAUGCCCGAAAGGGUGACGAAGCGACGCCGCGUGGGUGAAGAAGGCCUUCGGGUUGUAAAGCCCUGUCAGGAGUUAUGAAAUGUAAGUGCGCUAAUAUCGUGCUUAUUUGACAAAGGCUCCAAAGGAAGCCACGGCUAACUCUGUGCCAGCAGCCGCGGUAAUACAGAGGUGGCGAGCGUUGUUCGGAAUUAUUGGGCGUAAAGAGCACGUAGGUGGGUUUGCAAGUCAGAUGUGAAAGCCUUCUGUUCAACGGAAGAAUUGCAUCUGAAACUGCUAAUCUUGAGUAUAGGAGGGGAGAAUGGAACUUCUGGUGGAGCGGUGAAAUGCGUAGAUAUCAGAAGGAACGCCGGCGGCGAAAACGAUUCUCUGGCCUAUUACUGACACUCAGUGUGCGAAAGCUAGGGGAGCAAACGGGAUUAGAUACCCCGGUAGUCCUAGCCGUAAACGAUGGGCACUAAGUAGAGGGAAUUACCUAUAUUCUCUCUGCCGUAGCUAACGCAUUAAGUGCCCCGCCUGGGGAGUACGGCCGCAUGGCUAAAACUCAAAAGAAUUGACGGGGGCUCGCACAAGCGGUGGAGCAUGUGGCUUAAUUCGAUGCAACGCGAAAAACCUUACCGGGGCUUGACAUGAUAGAAGUAGGAACCUGAAAGGGGGACGAACGGUAUCCAGUCCGUAGCUAUUACAGGUGUUGCAUGGCUGUCGUCAGCUCGUGUCGUGAGACGUUGGGUUAAGUCCCCUAACGAGCGAAACCCUUGUUUUUAGUUACCAGCGGGUUAUGCCGGGUACUCUAGAAAGACUGCCGUCGUCAAGACGGAGGAAGGUGGGGAUGACGUCAAGUCAUCAUGGCCCUUAUGCCCCGGGCUGCACACGUGCUACAAUGGUCGGUACAGACGGAAGCGAAGCCGAGAGGUGAAGCGAAUCCUAAAAAGCCGAUCUCAGUUCGGAUUGGAGGCUGAAAUUCGCCUCCAUGAAGUUGGAAUCGCUAGUAAUCGCGGAUCAGCAAUGUCGCGGUGAAUAUGUUCCCGAGCCUUGUACACACCGCCCGUCAAGCCACCCAAGCAGGAUGCACCCGAAAACAUUAUAUCUAACCAGGGCAACUUGGAGGAAAAUGUUGAAGGAGUGUUUUGUGAGGAGGACUAAGUCGUAACAAGGUAGUCGUAGGAGAACCUGCGGCUGGAUCACCUCCUUUCU
This 1521-nucleotide ribosomal RNA is filed under the name uncultured Planctomycetales bacterium. Its description in RNAcentral is "16S ribosomal RNA". It matches the Rfam family "Bacterial small subunit ribosomal RNA". Lineage: Bacteria; Pseudomonadati; Planctomycetota; Planctomycetia; Planctomycetales. The record is from RNAcentral.